CACUUUUAUUUUAUCAAAUAAAAGAUAUUUCCUAUUUUGAUAAAAAGUAACCACCUCAAACAUUAUUCUUAAUCACAAUAGAGAGAAUAUACUUUUUACGGAUGAGAGAAAAAAAUACAAGCUGCAAUUUCUAUUUUAAUGGAAUAAUAUAAAAAAACUAUAAAUCUUGGAAGAACGGCUAAAAUUCGUUAUCUUCAGACAAUGGGAUUGUCUGCUUAUGAAACAGCACAGAAAACAUUUACCAGCUUAGUUUUGCUUCCUUAAACAGGUAGUUGAACAACCAAACCUUGUUCAAUAACAGAGACAGCACUGCGCAUGAGCUAGGUGGGAACCCAUAGCCCCAGGAUGACCCUGGAACAAAGAAUCUUCCACCUGAGCCCUUUAGAAGCUAGAAAUCCUUCAGCAAAGAAACUCUGGCUGCCAGCAGCUUGAUUACCAUAUAUGGACUGAUCCGAGAUUAGUCAAUCAGCUUCCAUGGGCCCAGCUGUAGCUACACAGCCCCCAACUUCUUAAAUUGCACUCUAACCUUGGAUCAGAGAGACAGACUUGAGAGCCUAGCUCCUUGCCAGCUGACCUCGCAACGAAGGUUUUUCUCGCUCAAAAGCUGGUGCCAUAAUAUUGGCUUCUGUGUGCGUCAGGCAGUGGGCCCUUGCUUAGUAGCACUUAGGCUUAAAUAAUUAAUUAACAAACUACAAGAAUUAAUAAGAUUAUGGGGCUGGCCCCGUGGCCGAGUGGUUAAGUUCGCGCGCUCCGCUGCAGGCGGCCCAGUGUUUCGUUAGUUCGAAUCCUGGGCGCGGACAUGGCACUGCUCAUCAGACCACGCUGAGGCAGCGUCCCACAUGCCACAACUAGAAGAAUACACAACUAUGUACCGGGGGGCUUUGGGGAGAAAAAGGAAAAAAUAAAAUCUUAAAAAAAAAAAAAAAAAAAGAAUUAAUAAGAUUAAAGUGGUAUGUCAAGAUAAGAGGGGCAAAUCAUCAAUGUGUCCUUUCAUACCUGCAACAAGCAACCGGAAGCUUUAAAAAUGUGUGCUUUCAGAAAAAACAAAAAUUUUAAAUUCCAAAGUAAAUAUGUAAAAACAUAAAAAUGAACAAUAAGAGUUGACUAAAAUAUAGCAAGAGUUCACAAGUCAGAAAAUUAGGCUUCAUCUACAGCCCCUCUCCCUUACUCCUCCUGGCUAAUCCAUGACCAUGCUGUCUCAACUUUACCUUCCAAACGAUUCCCAAAUCUCCCUGUUUCUCUCCAUU
RNAcentral lists this long non-coding RNA (1247 nucleotides) under Equus caballus (horse). RNAcentral describes it as "lncRNA (ENSECAG00000044109.1)". Lineage: Eukaryota; Metazoa; Chordata; Mammalia; Perissodactyla; Equidae. The record is from RNAcentral.